UACGUGGGCGGCGAGCGUUAUCCGGAUUUAUUGGGCGUAAAGGGUGCGUAGGCGGCCUGUUAAGUUUAAGGUGAAAGCGUGGGUCUCAACCCCAUAAGGCCUUAGAUACUGGCAGGCUAGAGUACUGGAGAGGAAAGUGGAAUUCCAUGUGUAGCGGUAAAAUGCGUAGAGAUAUGGAGGAACACCGGUGGCGAAGGCGGCUUUCUAGACAGUAACUGACGCUGAGGCACGAAAGUGUGGGGAGCAAACA
RNAcentral lists this ribosomal RNA (250 nucleotides) under uncultured prokaryote. RNAcentral's name for it is "partial 16S ribosomal RNA". It matches the Rfam family "Bacterial small subunit ribosomal RNA", at positions 524 to 774 of the family's 1533-position model. The record is from RNAcentral.